RNAcentral lists this ribosomal RNA (587 nucleotides) under Pseudo-nitzschia fraudulenta. RNAcentral describes it as "partial Bacterial small subunit ribosomal RNA". It matches the Rfam family "Bacterial small subunit ribosomal RNA", at positions 320 to 922 of the family's 1533-position model. Lineage: Eukaryota; Bacillariophyta; Bacillariophyceae; Bacillariales; Bacillariaceae. The record is from RNAcentral.
UGAGACACGGACCAGACUCCUACGGGAGGCAGCAGUGGGGAAUCUUGCACAAUGGGCGAAAGCCUGAUGCAGCCAUGCCGCGUGAAUGAUGAAGGCCUUAGGGUUGUAAAAUUCUUUCGCCAGGGAUGAUAAUGACAGUACCUGGUAAAGAAGCCCCGGCUAACUUCGUGCCAGCAGCCGCGGUAAUACGAAGGGGGCUAGCGUUGUUCGGAAUCACUGGGCGUAAAGCGCACGUAGGCGGACUUUUAAGUCAGAUGUGAAAUCCCGGGGCUCAACCUCGGAACUGCAUUUGAAACUGGAAGUCUAGAGACCAGGAGAGGUUAGCGGAAUACCGAGUGUAGAGGUGAAAUUCGUAGAUAUUCGGUGGAACACCAGUGGCGAAGGCGGCUCACUGGCUCGGUACUGACGCUGAGGUGCGAAAGUGUGGGGAGCAAACAGGAUUAGAUACCCUGGUAGUCCACACCGUAAACGUUGGGCGCUAGGUGUGGGAUCCAUUCCACGGGUUCCGUGCCGCAGCUAACGCAUUAAGCGCCCCGCCUGGGGAGUACGGCCGCAAGGCUAAAACUCAAAGGAAUUGACGGGGGCCC